RNAcentral lists this transfer RNA (77 nucleotides) under Methanothermococcus okinawensis. RNAcentral describes it as "tRNA-Arg". It matches the Rfam family "tRNA". From Rfam's summary of the family: Transfer RNA (tRNA) molecules are approximately 80 nucleotides in length. Their secondary structure includes four short double-helical elements and three loops (D, anti-codon, and T loops). Further hydrogen bonds mediate the characteristic L-shaped molecular structure. tRNAs have two regions of fundamental functional importance: the anti-codon, which is responsible for specific mRNA codon recognition, and the 3' end, to which the tRNAs corresponding amino acid is attached (by aminoacyl-tRNA synthetases). tRNAs cope with the degeneracy of the genetic code in two manners: having more than one tRNA (with a specific anti-codon) for a particular amino acid; and 'wobble' base-pairing, i.e. permitting non-standard base-pairing at the 3rd anti-codon position. The record is from RNAcentral. Lineage: Archaea; Methanobacteriati; Methanobacteriota; Methanococci; Methanococcales; Methanococcaceae. RNAcentral also lists the same sequence under 1 other name.
GCCCCUGUGGGUUAGCCAGGAUAUGCUUACGAACUGCGGAUUCGUAGACUCGGGUUCAAAUCCCGACAGGGGCGCCA